GAUGAACGCUGGCGGCGUGCCUAACACAUGCAAGUCGAGCGGUAUAUAUCUGAACAAAUCUUCGGAAGAGUAAGGGUAUGGAGAGCGGCGGACGGGUGAGUAACGCGUAGGCAACCUGCCCCAUACAGAGGGAUAGCCUCGGGAAACCGGGAUUAAAACCUCAUAAAGCGAGAGGUUCACAUGAACCUUUGGCCAAAGAUUUAUCGGUAUGGGAUGGGCCUGCGUCUGAUUAGCUAGUUGGUGGGGUAACGGCCUACCAAGGCAACGAUCAGUAGCCGACCUGAGAGGGUAAUCGGCCACAUUGGAACUGAGACACGGUCCAAACUCCUACGGGAGGCAGCAGUGGGGAAUAUUGCACAAUGGGCGAAAGCCUGAUGCAGCAACGCCGCGUGAGCGAUGAAGGCCUUUGGGUCGUAAAGCUCUGUCCUUGGGGAAGAAAAAAAUGACGGUACCCAUGGAGGAAGCCCCGGCUAACUACGUG
RNAcentral lists this ribosomal RNA (481 nucleotides) under uncultured organism. RNAcentral describes it as "bacterial SSU rRNA". It matches the Rfam family "Bacterial small subunit ribosomal RNA", at positions 28 to 507 of the family's 1533-position model. The record is from RNAcentral.